This 301-nucleotide unclassified non-coding RNA is filed under the name Glomeraceae sp. Its description in RNAcentral is "partial contains 5.8S ribosomal RNA, internal transcribed spacer 2, and large subunit ribosomal RNA". The stretch from base 1 to 67 matches the Rfam family "5.8S ribosomal RNA", at positions 88 to 154 of the family's 154-position model. The record is from RNAcentral. Lineage: Eukaryota; Fungi; Glomeromycota; Glomeromycetes; Glomerales; Glomeraceae.
GUGAACGAAUUUUUGAACGCAAAUUGCAGUCUCUGGUAUUCCGGAGAGUAUGCCUGUUUGAGGGUCAGUAUUAAUAAAAAUCGGUGUGUUGCUUCUUUGUGACGCUCCGGAGUUUGGGUCAUCUUUACCUUUCGGUUAAGUGACUGAAAAUUUUUUGUAUGAUAUCUGAACGUAUUUAAAUUUAUUUGGUACGUUUUGUAAUAUCGAAUGUUUAUUAGGUGUGAUCAUCCUCAUGACUUACGUCUAUAAUUUUUCAUCUAAUGACCUCAAAUCAGGUAAGAGUACCCGCUGAACUUAAGCA